Molecule: ribosomal RNA, 914 nt
Filed under: uncultured bacterium
Lineage: Bacteria
Description: bacterial SSU rRNA
Rfam family: Bacterial small subunit ribosomal RNA
Source: RNAcentral
CAGGGUUUGAUCCUGGCUCAGAUUGAACGCUGGCGGCAGGCCUAACACAUGCAAGUCGAGCGGAUGAAGGGAGCUUGCUCCUGGAUUCAGCGGCGGACGGGUGAGUAAUGCCUAGGAAUCUGCCUGGUAGUGGGGGAUAACGUCCGGAAACGGGCGCUAAUACCGCAUACGUCCUGAGGGAGAAAGUGGGGGAUCUUCGGACCUCACGCUAUCAGAUGAGCCUAGGUCGGAUUAGCUAGUUGGUGGGGUAAAGGCCUACCAAGGCGACGAUCCGUAACUGGUCUGAGAGGAUGAUCAGUCACACUGGAACUGAGACACGGUCCAGACUCCUACGGGAGGCAGCAGUGGGGAAUAUUGGACAAUGGGCGAAAGCCUGAUCCAGCCAUGCCGCGUGUGUGAAGAAGGUCUUCGGAUUGUAAAGCACUUUAAGUUGGGAGGAAGGGCAGUAAGUUAAUACCUUGCUGUUUUGACGUUACCAACAGAAUAAGCACCGGCUAACUUCGUGCCAGCAGCCGCGGUAAUACGAAGGGUGCAAGCGUUAAUCGGAAUUACUGGGCGUAAAGCGCGCGUAGGUGGUUCAGCAAGUUGGAUGUGAAAUCCCCGGGCUCAACCUGGGAACUGCAUCCAAAACUACUGAGCUAGAGUACGGUAGAGGGUGGUGGAAUUUCCUGUGUAGCGGUGAAAUGCGUAGAUAUAGGAAGGAACACCAGUGGCGAAGGCGACCACCUGGACUGAUACUGACACUGAGGUGCGAAAGCGUGGGGAGCAAACAGGAUUAGAUACCCUGGUAGUCCACGCCGUAAACGAUGUCGACUAGCCGUUGGGAUCCUUGAGAUCUUAGUGGCGCAGCUAACGCGAUAAGUCGACCGCCUGGGGAGUACGGCCGCAAGGUAAAACUCAAAGGAAUUGACGGG